GACGAACGCUGGCGGCGUGCCUAAUACAUCCAAGUCGAGCGGACUGAAUGGGAGCUUGCUCUUGUUCGGUCAGCGGCGGACGGGUGAGUAACACGUGGGCAACCUGCCCGCAAGACCGGGAUAACUCCGGGAAACCGGAGCUAAUACCGGAUAACACCGAAGACCGCAUGGUCUUUGGUUGAAAGGCGGCGCAAGCUGCCACUUGCGGAUGGGCCCGCGGCGCAUUAGCUAGUUGGUGAGGUAACGGCUCACCAAGGCGACGAUGCGUAGCCGGCCUGAGAGGGUGACCGGCCACACUGGGACUGAGACACGGCCCAGACUCCUACGGGAGGCAGCAGUAGGGAAUCUUCCGCAAUGGGCGAAAGCCUGACGGAGCGACGCCGCGUGAGCGAAGAAGGCCUUCGGGUCGUAAAGCUCUGUUGUGAGGGACGAAGGAGCGCCGUUUGAAGAAGGCGGCGCGGUGACGGUACCUCACGAGGAAGCCCCGGCUAACUACGUG
Molecule: ribosomal RNA, 499 nt
Filed under: uncultured bacterium
Lineage: Bacteria
Description: partial 16S ribosomal RNA
Rfam family: Bacterial small subunit ribosomal RNA
Source: RNAcentral